RNAcentral lists this ribosomal RNA (253 nucleotides) under uncultured prokaryote. Its description in RNAcentral is "partial 16S ribosomal RNA". It matches the Rfam family "Bacterial small subunit ribosomal RNA", at positions 524 to 776 of the family's 1533-position model. The record is from RNAcentral.
UAUGAAGGGGGCUAGCGUUGCUCGGAAUCACUGGGCGUAAAGGGCGCGUAGGCGGCGUUUUAAGUCGGGGGUGAAAGCCUGUGGCUCAACCACAGAAUGGCCUUCGAUACUGGGACGCUUGAGUAUGGUAGAGGUUGGUGGAACUGCGAGUGUAGAGGUGAAAUUCGUAGAUAUUCGCAAGAACACCAGUGGCGAAGGCGGCUCACUGGCCCGAUACUGACGCUGAGGCACGAAAGCGUGGGGAGCAAACAGG